GGGAUGAUCAGCUGUCUGGGCGUGCCGGAAGAUCUAAAGAGGAGUAGAAAUAUGAAAUGGAACUUAAACUUAUCAAAUCAACCAGGAAAAGAAAUUCCAAGCUGAGGAAAGAGCACCUGCAAAGUUGUAAAGAUACAUUUGAAAAGAGAAGAUGACAUCAAUAUAUUUGAUGGCGUCCCCGUGAAGAGUGGUUGCCAAUACUACAGGAAGAGAAAAGAACUUUGAAAAGUAGAUAGAAUUUCACUCCGCAAAGCAUUGUUUAGUGAACCAACUGGAUUAUAAUUCAAAUAGGCCUAACACUUGGGUGACAUUUUUCUCUUGCACCGGACUUGGGCUACUCUGCUUUGGCUUUGAAUGUCCAUUAAGUUUCUGAGACGUGCCCUCCAGCAGACAUGCCUCUCCUCCAUUAAAGGUACUCGGCACCCAUGUUUUAGAAACAGGGUUAACGUACACAAACUGUGUCACAAGCUUUGGAUAGGAAUUGCUAAUAAAAACUGGGAGUCCUGCAAAAUCCUAGCCUUUUAAAUUUCUCUUGAGAUCAUUCAUGGGGUGAGGUGAGAGUGAGUCAAGAAGUCUAGUUUCCAAGACUUUGAAAGCCUUGAACAACUAGUCCCAGAAAUCCUCCUGAACCACACAUGAAGGUGACAAAGACCACUUAGACUGGGUAUUCUGUCAUUCAUUUUCUAUAAUUAAAAUCACUGAUAAGAAUAUUUUGAUAACACUGCAUUUACUAUUGUAAGUCAAGCAGUGUACUAUGUAUUUGGCAUAUGUUAUUUCAUAUAAUCACCUAACCACCCCAUAAGGGUAAGUAUAAUUACCCCACUUCACAGAUCAGGUAACAGAGAUACAGAAAGCUUAAGUGACUAUUAAGGUCUAUCCACAGAGCUUGUGUUCUGAAUCAUGAUGUCCCCAAAUUCUUUCAACUAAGCAUGUUAUCUAUUUUAUUAAUUUAGGCUUUGUAAUAUUGUGGCAUGGCAGAACUUAAUCACUUUUCCUUCAAAAAUUUAAGAAAGAUAAAGAUUUGAGUAAAUACAUAUGGACAAUGUGGACAUUUGGAGAGCAAAUGCUGACUUUCAGACUUCGUAUUUGUAUUUGACUUGAAGAAUUCUUCUGAUAUGUAUGUAUGUAUGUAUAUUGCAUUAGGCCAAAGUUGAGUCCUCAUAAC
RNAcentral lists this long non-coding RNA (1165 nucleotides) under Equus caballus (horse). RNAcentral's name for it is "lncRNA (ENSECAG00000052827.1)". The record is from RNAcentral. Lineage: Eukaryota; Metazoa; Chordata; Mammalia; Perissodactyla; Equidae.